RNAcentral lists this ribosomal RNA (467 nucleotides) under uncultured bacterium. RNAcentral describes it as "bacterial SSU rRNA". It matches the Rfam family "Bacterial small subunit ribosomal RNA", at positions 331 to 793 of the family's 1533-position model. The record is from RNAcentral.
CCAGACUCCUACGGGAGGCAGCAGUGAGGAAUAUUGGUCAAUGGGCGGGAGCCUGAACCAGCCAAGUCGCGUGAGGGAUGACGGCCCUAUGGGUUGUAAACCUCUUUUGCCGGGGAGCAAAGUGCCGCACGUGUGCGGUUUGGAGAGUACCCGGAGAAAAAGCAUCGGCUAACUCCGUGCCAGCAGCCGCGGUAAUACGUAGGGGGCAAGCGUUAUCCGGAUUUACUGGGUGUAAAGGGAGCGUAGACGGCAGGGCAAGUCUGGAGUGAAAGCCCGGGGCCCAACCCCGGGACUGCUUUGGAAACUGCCAUGCUAGAGUGCUGGAGAGGUAAGCGGAAUUCCUAGUGUAGCGGUGAAAUGCGUAGAUAUUAGGAGGAACACCAGUGGCGAAGGCGGCGUACUGGACAGUAACUGACGUUGAGGCUCGAAAGCGUGGGGAGCAAACAGGAUUAGAUACCCCAGUAAAA